RNAcentral lists this ribosomal RNA (778 nucleotides) under Veillonella dispar. RNAcentral describes it as "bacterial SSU rRNA". It matches the Rfam family "Bacterial small subunit ribosomal RNA", at positions 28 to 776 of the family's 1533-position model. Lineage: Bacteria; Bacillati; Bacillota; Negativicutes; Veillonellales; Veillonellaceae. The record is from RNAcentral.
GACGAACGCUGGCGGCGUGCUUAACACAUGCAAGUCGAACGAAGAGCGAUGGAAGCUUGCUUCUAUCAAUCUUAGUGGCGAACGGGUGAGUAACGCGUAAUCAACCUGCCCUUCAGAGGGGGACAACAGUUGGAAACGACUGCUAAUACCGCAUACGAUCUGACCUCGGCAUCGAGGAUAGAUGAAAGGUGGCCUCUAUUUAUAAGCUAUCACUGAAGGAGGGGAUUGCGUCUGAUUAGCUAGUUGGAGGGGUAACGGCCCACCAAGGCGAUGAUCAGUAGCCGGUCUGAGAGGAUGAACGGCCACAUUGGGACUGAGACACGGCCCAGACUCCUACGGGAGGCAGCAGUGGGGAAUCUUCCGCAAUGGACGAAAGUCUGACGGAGCAACGCCGCGUGAGUGAUGACGGCCUUCGGGUUGUAAAGCUCUGUUAAUCGGGACGAAAGGCCUUCUUGCGAAUAGUUAGAAGGAUUGACGGUACCGGAAUAGAAAGCCACGGCUAACUACGUGCCAGCAGCCGCNGUAAUACGUAGGUGGCAAGCGUUGUCCGGAAUUAUUGGGCGUAAAGCGCGCGCAGGCGGAUUGGUCAGUCUGUCUUAAAAGUUCGGGGCUUAACCCCGUGAUGGGAUGGAAACUGCCAAUCUAGAGUAUCGGAGAGGAAAGUGGAAUUCCUAGUGUAGCGGUGAAAUGCGUAGAUAUUAGGAAGAACACCAGUGGCGAAGGCGACUUUCUGGACGAAAACUGACGCUGAGGCGCGAAAGCCAGGGGAGCGAACGGG